This 253-nucleotide ribosomal RNA is filed under the name uncultured bacterium. RNAcentral describes it as "partial 16S ribosomal RNA". It matches the Rfam family "Bacterial small subunit ribosomal RNA", at positions 524 to 776 of the family's 1533-position model. The record is from RNAcentral.
UACGUAGGGGGCGAGCGUUGUCCGGAAUUAUUGGGCGUAAAGGGCGUGUAGGCGGCCUGUUAAGUCAGGGGUGAAAACCCGGGGCUCAACUUCGGGGUUGCCCUUGAAACUGUCAUGCUAGAGUGCAGAAGGGGCAAUCGGAAUUCUUGGUGUAGCGGUGAAAUGCGUAGAUAUCAAGAGGAACACCUGAGGUGAAGACGGGUUGCUGGGCUGACACUGACGCUGAGGCGCGAAAGCCAGGGGAGCAAACGGG